Molecule: RNA transcript, 1139 nt
Organism: Prunus persica (peach)
Lineage: Eukaryota; Viridiplantae; Streptophyta; Magnoliopsida; Rosales; Rosaceae
Gene name: probable LRR receptor-like serine/threonine-protein kinase At1g63430
Exons: 2
Source: RefSeq, a predicted model, not a curated record
UGGGGAAAAUAACUUAUCAUGCUCAAUACCUGAAUGGUUAGGGGCUAGUCUUCCAAAUUUGGGUAUCUUAAUCCUUCGAGGUAAUCAGUUCUAUAGCAGCAUCCCGCCCCAAUUAUGCCAUCUGACACACAUUCAAAUUUUGGAUUUAUCGAUGAACAACAUCUCUGGAACUAUACCCAAAUGUCUCAACAAUUUGAGUGCUUUGACUCAAAAAGGAAAUUCAAGUCUAACUAUCCAACAUUACUAUACAUAUCAGUUGGAUAAAGUAUUAAUUUCUUGGCCUUAUGAUAAUGAAGCAUCUUUAACAUGGAAAGGGGUAAGGUCUAAAUACAAAAGUACUCUGGGACUUGUAAAGAGUAUUGAUCUCUCAAGCAAUAAGUUGAUUGGAGAGAUUCCUAGUGAAGUCACUGAUCUUGUUGGUUUGGUUUCUUUAAACCUGUCAAGAAACCAAUUAACAGUUCAAAUACCUCCAAGGAUUGGAAUGUUGCAGGAGUUAGAUUCCCUUGAUUUAUCAAGAAACUAGAUUAAUGGCAGAAUUCCAAAAAGCCUAUCUUGGAUAGAUCGUAUUGGUUACUUGGACUUGUCAGAAAACGACUUGUCUGGAAAAAUUCCAAUAGGCACUCAGCUCCAAAGCUUUGGUCCAUCUUCUUAUGGUGGAAAUCCUCUACUUUGUGGACUGCCACUUCUAAGGACAUGCACUGAGGAGGAAAAAGGUCUAGGACAAACUGUGUUGGUGAAUCAAGACGAUAAAGAUGGGCUCAUAACGUAAGGAUUUUACAUCAGCUUGGGGCUUGGGUUUGCUAUUGGAUUUUGGGGAGUUUUUGGCACUCUUCUAUUCAACAGGUCAUGCAGAUAUACAUACUUCAAUUUCUGGACUUGUUUCAUAGAUUGGCUGUACGUGAAGGCAGAAAUCAUCAGACAAAAGAUACCUCAUACUAGAUAAAUGGCACUUUUGAAACAACAUACUUAGUUGAAGAUGGACGAGAUGAAGGACCGCUAUUUGUACUAGCUUUCGAAUACUUGAGUGAUGAUGAUAAGGGAUCUCACUAAAAUAAAGGAACCAUUUAUUUUUAGAGUAAAUGAGUUGUACCGUUAUUCGUAGGAACUUAACGGGAACUUCACCCAUGAAGUAUUUGGUA